This 571-nucleotide ribosomal RNA is filed under the name uncultured bacterium. Its description in RNAcentral is "partial 16S ribosomal RNA". The record is from RNAcentral.
UGCCUUCGCAAUCGGAGUUCUGCGUGAUAUCUAUGCAUUUCACCGCUACACCACGCAUUCCGCAUACUUCUCGCCCACUCAAGACCGUCAGUUUCAACGGCGGGCGGAGGUUGAGCCCCCGUAUUUUACCGCUGACUUGACAGUCCGCCUACGCACCCUUUAAACCCAAUAAAUCCGGAUAACGCUCGCAUCCUCCGUAUUACCGCGGCUGCUGGCACGGAGUUAGCCGAUGCUUUUUCUUCGGGUACUCUCGACUCCGCCACGCGUGGCGGAAUUUGCUCCCCGACAAAAGAGGUUUACAACCCGUAGGGCCGUCAUCCCUCACGCGACUUGGCUGGUUCAGGCUCGCGCCCAUUGACCAAUAUUCCUCACUGCUGCCUCCCGUAGGAGUCUGGUCCGUGUCUCAGUACCAGUGUGGGGGACCUUCCUCUCAGAACCCCUAGACAUCGUCGCCUUGGUGGGCCGUUGCCCCGCCAACUAGCUAAUGUCACGCAUGCCCAUCCGUUGCCGGAAUCGCUUCCUUUGGCCGCAGGGCCAUGCAGCCCCGCGGCAUUACGCGGUAUUAGACGGG